This 24-nucleotide non-coding RNA is filed under the name Arabidopsis thaliana (thale cress). Lineage: Eukaryota; Viridiplantae; Streptophyta; Magnoliopsida; Brassicales; Brassicaceae. The record is from RNAcentral.
GAAGAGGUUGUGGCCAAGUAUUUC